UACGGAGGGUGCAAGCGUUGUCCGGAAUCACUGGGCGUAAAGGGCGCGUAGGCGGCUCAUGAAGGCUGUGGUGAAAGUCCGGGGCUCAACCUCGGAUCGGCCGUGGCGACUCGUGGGCUGGAGCACUGUAGAGGCGGGUGGAACUCCGGGUGUAGCGGUGGAAUGCGUAGAGAUCCGGAAGAACACCAGUGGCGAAGGCGGCCCGCUGGGCAGUGGCUGACGCUGAGGCGCGACAGCGUGGGGAGCAAACAGG
RNAcentral lists this ribosomal RNA (253 nucleotides) under uncultured bacterium. Its description in RNAcentral is "partial 16S ribosomal RNA". It matches the Rfam family "Bacterial small subunit ribosomal RNA", at positions 524 to 776 of the family's 1533-position model. The record is from RNAcentral.